UAAUGAAUCCUUAACACAUACUCCUAAGCAAUUACGAUUAGAAUAAUAAUAUAACACCUAAAUAAGCUAAGGAGGAGUCCGUAAUUAAGGAUUAAAAUCAGUCGGUCCUUGUUGACGUGGAAUCUCCGUUCAAGCCUGACGUCCUCAAAGGCAAGGUAGCUCUCAUCACCGGAGGCGGAUCCGGAAUCGGUUACGAGAUCUCUUCUAAGUUCGGCAAACAUGGAGCUUCCGUCGCCAUCAUGGGACGCAGGAAACAAGUCCUCGACGCCGCCGUCUCUGAUCUCCGAUCCCUCGGGAUUCAGAUGACGUUCAAUUGGGCUUUGCGUGUCUAUUCACGACAUAGGAUCAGUGGAAGGAGGUUUUGUUUUACCCGGUGAUGGUGCUGCCACCUAUAAGGUAGGUUUUAGAAUUGUAGUGUUUCGUCCAUUCGUUGGUGAAGUCAUUGCUGCAAGGUUCAAAGAAUCUGAUUCCAAUGGAUUGCGCUGUGAGUACUACUACUGUUGUGCAUAAUGAUUGCUUAUACGUUUCAAGAACAUCAGCUAUCCACCUGUUCCAACUGAGCGAGGAGAUGAUGCAAAGCCUUUUGCUCCUAUGGUGGUCACUGUAAGUUCUCAUUCUCUGAAGCUAUCUUACUUGUAUUAGCAUAUAAAUAACAAAACUAGUUGUAUAAAGCCUCCUAAUUUCUCCUACUGAAGCUAUUCCACUUGUGAAAUGGGCAGGGGACUUAAUCUCCAAAUGUAAGACUUCAGGUUCUUAAACUAGUAUGUUUUUCUUAACAUAGGAAGUUGGAAUUAGACUCCUUUCCCAUGAUUCUAGGAUUAGAUUCCUUAAUUUUGAUUUUAUCUGUGUAUGGAAAAAUAUUUUUCUUAUAUAUAUGUGCAACUCUUUUGUCCUGCUCU
Long non-coding RNA from Brassica napus (rape), 899 nucleotides. RefSeq lists it as uncharacterized. The transcript is spliced from 3 exons. The record is from RefSeq and is a predicted model, not a curated record. Lineage: Eukaryota; Viridiplantae; Streptophyta; Magnoliopsida; Brassicales; Brassicaceae.